This 425-nucleotide ribosomal RNA is filed under the name uncultured bacterium. RNAcentral describes it as "partial 16S ribosomal RNA". It matches the Rfam family "Bacterial small subunit ribosomal RNA", at positions 354 to 796 of the family's 1533-position model. The record is from RNAcentral.
GUGGGGAAUCUUGCGCAAUGGGCGAAAGCCUGACGCAGCCAUGCCGCGUGAAUGAUGAAGGUCUUAGGAUUGUAAAAUUCUUUCACCGGGGACGAUAAUGACGGUACCCGGAGAAGAAGCUCCGGCUAACUUCGUGCCAGCAGCCGCGGUAAUACGAAGGGGGCUAGCGUUGCUCGGACUUACUGGGCGUAAAGGGCGCGUAGGCGGACAGCUUAGUCAGAGGUGAAAGCCCAGGGCUCAACCUUGGAAUUGCCUUUGAUACUGGCUGUCUUGAGUUUGGGAGAGGUGAGUGGAACUCCGAGUGUAGAGGUGAAAUUCGUAGAUAUUCGGAAGAACACCAGUGGCGAAGGCGACUCACUGGCCCAAUACUGACGCUGAGGCGCGAAAGCGUGGGGAGCAAACAGGAUUAGAAACCCCUGUAGUCC